Molecule: long non-coding RNA, 364 nt
Filed under: Fragaria vesca (wild strawberry)
Lineage: Eukaryota; Viridiplantae; Streptophyta; Magnoliopsida; Rosales; Rosaceae
Description: long non-coding RNA (FVES_LNC004265)
Source: RNAcentral
AUAUAUAUAUAUAUAUAUAUAUAUAUAUAUAUAUAGGGCCAUUCCAAUGAGAGUAUUCCUUUUUUUUGUUUAUUUCUAGAGAAGGGCCCUGUAUAUAUAUAAAUGAUAAUGUCUUAUAUAACGAUAAAAUAGACAGACGGGCUGUCAUGAUCUCUUACCUUCUAAAAAUAAUAAGAGUUGAGAUUGAUGAAAUCUUGUUUAUUAACGUGUCGAGCGUGGAAUAUUUAUGACUUUUACCAGCCGGUAGGCGCGCACAAUCUCUAUCUCACUCUCUCCACAAAAGUAGUACCCGGUGAUCUUAGACCGACACUUAUAAGUUAUAAUUAAAAAAUUUAAUUUAUACCGUUUGACAGUUGUCGAUUUA